Molecule: ribosomal RNA, 482 nt
Filed under: uncultured bacterium
Lineage: Bacteria
Description: partial 16S ribosomal RNA
Rfam family: Bacterial small subunit ribosomal RNA
Source: RNAcentral
GACGAACGCUGGCGGCGUGCUUAACACAUGCAAGUCGAACGAUGAAGAAGAGAAACGCGAACUUCGGUUCAAAUUUCACUUCGGAUUAGUGGCAGACGGGUGAGUAACGCGUGAGCAACCUACCUCUUACAAAGGGAUAGCCUCGGGAAACCGUGAUUAAUACCAUAUGACACAUUCAUAAGGCAUCUUAAGAAUGUUAAAGCUACGGCGGUAAGAGAUGGGCUCGCGUCCCAUUAGCUAGUUGGUGAGGUAACGGCCCACCAAGGCGACGAUGGGUAGCCGGCCUGAGAGGGUGAACGGUCACAUUGGAACUGAGACACGGUCCAAACUCCUACGGGAGGCAGCAGUGGGGAAUAUUGCACAAUGGAGGGAACUCUGAUGCAGCGACGCCGCGUGAGCGAUGAAGGAAUUCGUUUCGUAAAGCUCUGUUCUAUGGGAAGAAAAGGACUGUACCAUAGGAGAAAGCCCCGGCUAAAUACGUG